Non-coding RNA from Phyllosticta capitalensis, 101 nucleotides. Lineage: Eukaryota; Fungi; Ascomycota; Dothideomycetes; Botryosphaeriales; Phyllostictaceae. The record is from the annotation of a GenBank genome assembly.
GGUCGCUUAGCUCAGUUGGUUAGAGCGUGGUGCUAAUAUGGCAGCUCUCACAGAGAGUUUGUGUAACGCCAAGGUCGCGAGUUCGACCCUCGUAGUGACCA